Molecule: ribosomal RNA, 417 nt
Filed under: Triticum aestivum (bread wheat)
Lineage: Eukaryota; Viridiplantae; Streptophyta; Magnoliopsida; Poales; Poaceae
Description: partial small subunit ribosomal RNA
Source: RNAcentral
AUGCGAAUACUAGUAGUCGUUGCUUGUGCUUUUUUUUCUUUGAGGGAUAAUAGUCGUUGCUUCUGCUGCACUUCUCGCGCCAGUCAGGCCCAGAGCCGCGUGCCACCAAACACACUCCCGCUGACAUCCGGUCCCCGCGCGGUCCCGGGCCCACCUACAGUACAGCCGUGCAGCCGGAGGCACGUUCGUGCGCGGAGCACACCACUCGCACAAAAGGCUGUAAAAAUUAAUUGCGUAUUCGUUAAUGAGCAGAGCACUGGCGCGGCCCCUCACCCUCAUCUCAUCUCAUCUCACCUCCCUUUCCUUUCCUUCCCCCCUCGCUUCGUUUGUGCGUUGCCUUUUUCUUUCCGCCGCGGCAACUGUGAGCCGGCCCGAUCGAGCGAGCCGCCCCCCACGCACCUCAAGAAACCGCCAUAA